Molecule: ribosomal RNA, 253 nt
Filed under: uncultured bacterium
Lineage: Bacteria
Description: partial 16S ribosomal RNA
Rfam family: Bacterial small subunit ribosomal RNA
Source: RNAcentral
UACGUAGGUGACCAGCGUUGUCCGGAUUUACUGGGCGUAAAGGGCGCGUAGGCGGCCCGCUAAGUCGAACGUGAAAUCCCCGGGCUCAACCCGGGAACUGCGUCCGAUACUGGUGGGCUUGAAUCCGGGAGAGGGAUGCGGAAUUCCAGGUGUAGCGGUGAAAUGCGUAGAUAUCUGGAGGAACACCGGUGGCGAAGGCGGCAUCCUGGACCGGUAUUGACGCUGAGGCGCGAAAGCCAGGGGAGCAAACGGG